CCACUUCUUCGUUUCAAUUGUCAGGUGUUUAAAUUAUUCGAGUAUCACAAGUUUUCUGUUAACGUUUUUGAACUGUGAUUGUGAUGGAAAACUCUGACUUUGAAAAAAGUGAUGAAGGUGAAUAUCUUCAAGUGAAACCAACGAAAAGUGUUUUUGGAAAUAAAAAAAAAGACCUCUCGGGAUAGGUGAUGGAUUAAGUAAAACCACAAGAAAACGUCGUACAUUAGCAUUUAAAAAAGAGGCUGAAUAGUUAUGUGAGAAGUUCAAGCUAGAAAUACUCCUUGGAAUACAUUUCCCUACAGAUGUUAGAAAAAGCUGGUAUUUUGAAGGUUUUGGUGUGCGAAUGAAGCAAUUUGCUGAUGAGACUGCCAUUGGAAAGAAGAUCAAGACUGACUUACAACUGUUAUCAAACAGUUGGUUUGUAGAUGACAAGAUUAACUUGCAAGAAGGGGUUACUGCAUUCAGUGUCAUUACUGGACCGUUUGUCAGCGCUGUAGGAGAGGAAGCGGUAAUUCUUGCGCAGCAGCGUGGAGCUCUCGAUUACAGUAAGUACAUACGAUAUAUUUAAAUAAGCAGUCUUUUCAUUAAUUAAUUCUAUUUACUAAAUGGUUCAAUCAGAGAGUCUAUCUAAAGGGAAGACUGUAACAGAUAUUUCCACAUUACAAGAUGAAUUGGAAUGGUUGCAUUUUGAGUGGCUUAAUGUCAAAGACAGAGUUUCUGCUCUAGCGGGUUCGUAUCACAUUAUUUAUCAUUUCAAUAGUGUUAUUAUUUGCAUGAUGUUGAACAGGGGGCUGCAAAUGGAGAACAAAAUUGAGGAGAAAACAAGGGACGCUGUACGCUUCGGCAGGGAAAAAAAUUUCAGAAAUUAACGAACUGAUCACAGAAAUUAAAAAACGGAUCACAAAAACUGUUCCAAAGUCAGCUGCCGAAUCUUUCAAUCAGGAGAAGGAUGUAGAGCAAAUCAUUUGUAAUGAACUCGUUACUCUGAAACACUUUGAAG
Molecule: long non-coding RNA, 1000 nt
Organism: Daphnia magna
Lineage: Eukaryota; Metazoa; Arthropoda; Branchiopoda; Diplostraca; Daphniidae
Exons: 3
Source: RefSeq, a predicted model, not a curated record